ACUCAAACUUGGGGGCACUUUCUGUUCUCUAGGCUCGAAAGUGCUGCCAUCUUUGAGUGC
RNAcentral lists this microRNA precursor (60 nucleotides) under Echinops telfairi (small Madagascar hedgehog). Its description in RNAcentral is "Ete-Mir-430-P5_pre stem-loop". Lineage: Eukaryota; Metazoa; Chordata; Mammalia; Afrosoricida; Tenrecidae. The record is from RNAcentral.